RNAcentral lists this long non-coding RNA (1572 nucleotides) under Aquilegia coerulea. RNAcentral's name for it is "long non-coding RNA (ACOE_LNC001239)". Lineage: Eukaryota; Viridiplantae; Streptophyta; Magnoliopsida; Ranunculales; Ranunculaceae. The record is from RNAcentral.
GGGGAAUAAAAUUGUAAAGGAAAAGGGGGGAGGAGAAAGAUGCCUCUAUACGAUUGUAUGCUGUUAUUGAAGCCCCACAUCAAGAAGGAGCAGUUGAUGAACUUGAUUUUUCGAGUAGGAAAACAGUUCAUUGAGGAAUGGUGUUCUUACUGAAAUAAAAUCAUUUGGAACUGUUCAGUUGGGUUACGGUAUCAAGAAGCUAGAUGGGAGAUACUAUCAGGUGCUUGUUUAUUUUCUGUCAAAUGUUUUCUCCGGUCAUCGUUUUUGGGCCUCCCUUGCUCUUUGAUAUUCCUUCGUUGCUUUCGUUUGGUUAUUAUACUACAUAAUGUGAUUUGUUAAUAUUUAUAGAUUAUAGAUGAUGAGAAAAUGGGGGAAAAAAGGCAAAUAAGUUUUAAGUAUGAGUUGCCCAAAAUUGACACCCUUAUAUAAGACAAAUGUGAUACCGGCGUCCAGCUGCUCGAAGUCCUUUGCCUCAAGCAUGCGGACUCAAUCUGUGUACUUAACCAACAAACCAAAAUAAAUUCAGGGCUCACACCAAAAGAACAUCCGUCAAUUUGAAGAAAUGGUUAAGAAUUCCUGUGCAUAAACUAGUUGAGAACACAAGUUGGUACAAUUAUAAUUCUCCACUUGAACCACACAUGGAAAUAAUGACCGGUAUGAACUUAUGCUUUGUGCAGAAGUUUUCAAAAGAACAGCAACAGCCAAAGCAAGUCUGCAUGAUUUAGAAUAUCAGAAAGGAGUGGCUUUCCUAGUAGAAGCCUCCUUUCUUAUAUCAGGAGACUAUAUAUGUGUUAUCACUUAUGUGGGUAGAACCUUCUUUGUGAAAUGCUUUCUAACUUGCAACUUGGAUUUUAUGGACUCUCAAUUUGAUGCCAGUUAGAUGUAGUGGUACCCGCAUGGUUGGUGAUUUCAAUGAUCCUAAUGAUAAAUCUGACUCGUGACAUCUGCCAAGUGCCAACAUUUACUGAUAAAGAAAGACAUCUGCCAACAUUUGAAAUGUGUGUGUGUGUGUGACUGUGCUUGUAGAUCUUUUAGAGGAUGGUGAUCCGCAACAGUUUCUGUGAUAUUAUCUGUCUAUAGCAAACAGAAUUUUUCCAAAUGACUGCAUUCUUGUGAUUUUUGGAAAGGAGAGAAAAAUGUUGUUACAAAAGCUGUUCACUUUGUACAGGGCCACCAAUUGAUACAAAUGACUAUGAUGACUACUCCGAACUUCAACAAGGAACUACAUUACCUAAACAAGGAAGAUCGGCUCCUUCGGUGGCUUUUAGCGAACCACAAAAAUACCAAAUAUCAAAUGAAUUGUGAUCUAAGCGCCAGUUUUUGGAGAUAAUGACUUUAGCUACUUCCCCAGGAGCAACAGCUGCGAUGACAAUGGCAUUGACGAGACUGACGGUAAUGAUGAAGAAUAUAAUGAGGAGGGAGAGGAAACUCAAACAGAUUAGACUGGUAAUGAGACAGUUGUCGAGCUUACAUUCAUGAUUAUUUAUUUUUAUUUUUUUAAGGACUUACACUCAUGAUUACAGUGCCUUCUAUUUUGAUGAUUAAACGUGACAUGGUUUUUUUGUUCUGUUU